RNAcentral lists this ribosomal RNA (91 nucleotides) under Porticoccus sp. Lineage: Bacteria; Pseudomonadati; Pseudomonadota; Gammaproteobacteria; Cellvibrionales; Porticoccaceae. The record is from RNAcentral.
CCUGGUGAUUAUUGCGAAAGGGUAAUACCCGAUCCCAUUCCGAACUCGGAAGUCAAGCCUUUCAGCGCCAAUGGUACUUUGUCUUAAGACA